Long non-coding RNA from Agrilus planipennis (emerald ash borer), 606 nucleotides. RefSeq lists it as uncharacterized. NCBI's taxonomy places the organism in Eukaryota, Metazoa, Arthropoda, Insecta, Coleoptera, Buprestidae. The transcript is spliced from 6 exons. The record is from RefSeq and is a predicted model, not a curated record.
AUGAUAACUACUGCGUUUCUAAACCAUAAUAAAGUUCUAUCGAGGAUACUAUCAAAAUUGAGGGAAAUGAUCAAGUUUGGGUGCAUUCAGUAGAUUUUAAUUUGGAGUUAAAAGAAAGGCUUUCCAAACGUAUAAUAGAUAUACGAUUGCCAUGGGACCAUUCAUUAGCAAGUCUUUCCAUUCGUGGAAUGAUUUGAUGAUAAUGGGUACAUCUCUAAACCUCGAUGAAGUUCCAUUGGGUAUGCUACCAAAAUGAAAAGGGAAUCGAUUAAUUUUGGAUACAUUCAGUAGAUUGUAAUUUGGUCUUAGAUAAAGUUAUUUCAAACGUGGAAUAGAUGAUAACUAGUGCCAUCGAGGAUGCUACCAAAAUUGAGGGAAAUGAUUAAAUUUGGGUGCAUUCAGUAGAUUUUAAUUAGGACUUAAAAAAAGGCUUUCCAAAUUUGGAAUAGAUGUACGAUUGCCAUGGGACCAUUGAUGAGCAAGAUUUUCCAGUCGUGGAAUGAUUCGAUGACGACGAGUGCGUUUCUAAACCUUGAUGGAGUUCCACAAUGGAGAGGAAUGGCCAAAUUGUGUAGUGUUCCAUUCAAACUGACAUUCCUUGGGCGU